RNAcentral lists this ribosomal RNA (492 nucleotides) under uncultured bacterium. RNAcentral describes it as "partial 16S ribosomal RNA". It matches the Rfam family "Bacterial small subunit ribosomal RNA", at positions 29 to 507 of the family's 1533-position model. The record is from RNAcentral.
AGUGAACGCUGGCGGUAGGCCUAACACAUGCAAGUCGAACGGCAGCACAGUAAGAGCUUGCUCUUACGGGUGGCGAGUGGCGGACGGGUGAGGAAUACAUCGGAAUCUACUUUUUCGUGGGGGAUAACGUAGGGAAACUUACGCUAAUACCGCAUACGACCUACGGGUGAAAGCAGGGGAUCUUCGGACCUUGCGCGAUUGAAUGAGCCGAUGUCGGAUUAGCUAGUUGGCGGGGUAAAGGCCCACCAAGGCGACGAUCCGUAGCUGGUCUGAGAGGAUGAUCAGCCACACUGGAACUGAGACACGGUCCAGACUCCUACGGGAGGCAGCAGUGGGGAAUAUUGGACAAUGGGCGCAAGCCUGAUCCAGCCAUACCGCGUGGGUGAAGAAGGCCUUCGGGUUGUAAAGCCCUUUUGUUGGGAAAGAAAUCCAGCCUGCUAAUACCUGGUUGGGAUGACGGUACCCAAAGAAUAAGCACCGGCUAACUUCGUG